Molecule: ribosomal RNA, 484 nt
Filed under: uncultured bacterium
Lineage: Bacteria
Description: partial 16S ribosomal RNA
Rfam family: Bacterial small subunit ribosomal RNA
Source: RNAcentral
AGUGAGCGCUGGCGGCGUGCUUAACACAUGCAAGUCGAACGAGAACGGGCUAUAGCUUGCUAUAGUUGUCAGCUAAGUGGCGCACGGGUGAGUAAUGUAUAGGUAAUAUGCCUCUUACUAAGGGUUAACAAAUGGAAACGUUUGCUAAUACCUUAUACUCCUUAUUAACAGAAGUUAAUAAGGGAAAGAUUUAUUGGUAAGAGAUUAGCCUGUAUUGUAUCAGUUAGUUGGUGGGGUAAUGGCUUACCAAGACUAUGACACAUAACUGGUUUGAGAGGAUGAUCAGUCACACUGGAACUGAGAAACGGUCCAGACUCCUACGGGAGGCAGCAGUGGGGAAUAUUGCACAAUGGACGAAAGUCUGAUGCAGCAACGCCGCGUGGAGGAUGACACAUUUCGGUGCGUAAACUCCUUUUAUAUGAGAAGAUAAUGACGGUAUUAUAUGAAUAAGCACCGGCUAACUCCGUGCCAGCCGCCGCAGUAA